Molecule: non-coding RNA, 79 nt
Filed under: Streptococcus anginosus
Lineage: Bacteria; Bacillati; Bacillota; Bacilli; Lactobacillales; Streptococcaceae
Description: S. pyogenes small RNA 1786666
Rfam family: S. pyogenes small RNA 1786666
Source: RNAcentral
AACUAAAAAGCGUAGCUAUCCACUACGCUAGUUCUUGCCUGCUGAACUCAUAUUGUAAAUGACCUGUAAAGGUCUUUUU